This is a non-coding RNA of Cajanus cajan (pigeon pea), 1028 nucleotides long. The record is from RefSeq and is a predicted model, not a curated record. NCBI's taxonomy places the organism in Eukaryota, Viridiplantae, Streptophyta, Magnoliopsida, Fabales, Fabaceae.
GACUCUGAAGCGUGUCCGUGACGGACAAAAAAAUUAGGGCACUUAAGGUUUUUCUGUUUCAUUUUCUCUCCGCUGCCGCACUUAAGGUUCCUCCAUUUCAUUUUCUCUAUUCUCUCUGCUGCCGCACUUAAGGUUCCUAGGCAACGCUUCCGCUUGGGCCGCUGCACCAGCCGUUGUCCCCUUUUGUCUCCCUAGAUUUGAAGGCAUUCUCCGUCGAGCUUGCCCUCUCCUUCAUCCUCCUCUCGUCACUACUUCUUGUCGCAGCAAACUUCUCGGAGUUGAUGUCGUGCAAGGAGUCAAAGCAAAAAAAGUAUGGUACAUAACCUUUGAGAUCUUGUCACUCAAAUGUUCCUGCACUUCGUCACUCUCCGCCAGGUACUCUAUUUCGCAACUCUUAUUCUCUAGUCUAGGGUUUAUGACUCUCUUCGUUUGUUUUCAGGCAUAUCUUGCUUGAGGAAGACAGAGUGAAAACCGAAACGGAGCGUGCCAAGGCUCCCAUGGAUUUCACAUCGCUGCAGCUUCACAACCUUAUGUACGAGAAAAGCCACUACGUGAAGGCAAUCAAGGCUUGCAAAGACUUCAAGUCCAAAUAUCCCGACAUUGACCUCGUUCCCGUGGAGGAGUUUUUCCGCGACGCUCCACAGGAUAUCAAGGACUCCGUUUUGUCAAGUGACGCUGCGCACAAUCUCAUGCUCAGGAGGCUCAAUUUUGAGUUAUUCAAGGUGACUCUGCGAUACUCUGUUGCGAAAAUCCUAACCUAGCGAGUGUGCUUCACAAUUUGCAAUUAGGUGGAUUGAACAAAUGAAAUUGAUGGAAGUGACAUAAGUGUGCAUUAUAAUUAUAUGUUUUUAUUGUAGUGGAUUCAAUUGCAUUAGUUUAUUUAGCGUGCCUCUGUCCUCAAUAUAAAUUUUGUAUUGAUAAGCUAGAAGCAAGGUUUUAAAUUGCAGUCAUAAUUUUGUGUCUAUCUUGUAUUCUUUUCUGACUUGUAUGAAUAAAUUUACAGAGCAUGUCUUUUGACAUUUUUGAUA